GGGGGGAAGCUCGCCGGGCUCCCGGUUCCCCCGCGCGCUGGCGGCUCCUCCCCGCAGCGCUGCUCUAAGCAGGCUAUGUGUGAGCUGGAACUUGCGGGGUGGGGUGGCUGGGAGGGGAAGGGCUUUGCACCAAUCCCUGUGAUUACUCCGGACGAAUGCCGGGCUCAGUCCUGCAUGACAGUGUUGGAUGAUGUUGACAUGGACCCAGAAGGAAACUCCAGCAUUUGUUGUCAAGAAUCUCAGAAUUGAAAGGGCUACUGCUUGGAUUCAUUGAUGAAAACUUAUUUCACUGAGAGUCAAGAGAAAUUAUGUCAAGGAGGAAUACUUUAGGCCUCACAUCAAAUUUUAUCGAAUAUUUGUUCCAAGACCUGAAGUCAAGUGAUUAGACCUGAGUCAAAAACAAAGAAAAGUGAUAACUCCAAAAGAGGAGGCCCAGCAGAGAAGACAUGGAUGAUUUGGGGAACAACUGACAUGCUGGAGCAUGCUGACCUGAAGUCUCAGUAGGGUUUAUGUCAGCAAAGGAGCAGUCGAAAUGGAGAAGAAUACCCAUGACUCAGAAAUGUAUUAGAAUCCCUUGUGCAGAAAGAGAAAAUACCAAAUACCACAAACAACCAAACAAAUUAGAGCAACAGCCAUCAAGUCCCUGUGUUUGGACUAUAUACAAUAUUUCUGCCCUUUUAUGUCUCAUUCAUGACCUUCAAGAGACCCAUGGCCCCCGCUUCGAUCCCGGCCGGCGUCCUGCACAAACCGACUCUGCUGUUGCUCUUGCUGUUGCUGCCUGAACUUCUCUGGGCUGCCAGGACGGGUGAGUACCCACAGCGCUGCGCCUCCCCGACCUCUGCCUUCCGGCGUCUCCUCCGGCU
RNAcentral lists this long non-coding RNA (863 nucleotides) under Fukomys damarensis (Damara mole-rat). Its description in RNAcentral is "lncRNA (ENSFDAG00000031443.1)". Lineage: Eukaryota; Metazoa; Chordata; Mammalia; Rodentia; Bathyergidae. The record is from RNAcentral.